This 204-nucleotide unclassified non-coding RNA is filed under the name Hevea brasiliensis (rubber tree). Lineage: Eukaryota; Viridiplantae; Streptophyta; Magnoliopsida; Malpighiales; Euphorbiaceae. The record is from RNAcentral.
GUCUCAAUCCUUAAGGAUCCUAUGAAACUACUCCUUCAACAUAUCAACCCUUGAAAAGAGAACUUCUUCUCUUGCAAAAACAAAAAAAAAAAAUUGUUAACAAAAAAGUCUCAAGUUUUCAUAUUUUUAGAUCCAGUAUAUUGAGCUCUUUCAAAAGUUUUUUUGAAGAAAUAAUCAUCAUUUUAACAUAAGGUUCCAAUCCAU